UACGGAGGGUGCAAGCGUUAUCCGGAUUCACUGGGUUUAAAGGGUGCGUAGGCGGCUUAUUAAGUCAGUGGUGAAAGCCUGGAGCUUAACUCCAGAACUGCCAUUGAUACUGAUGAGCUUGAGUACAGUUGAGGUGGGCGGAAUGUGUCAUGUAGCGGUGAAAUGCUUAGAUAUGACACAGAACACCAAUUGCGAAGGCAGCUCGCUAAACUGUAACUGACGCUGAGGCACGAAAGCGUGGGUAGCAAACAGG
RNAcentral lists this ribosomal RNA (253 nucleotides) under uncultured bacterium. Its description in RNAcentral is "partial 16S ribosomal RNA". It matches the Rfam family "Bacterial small subunit ribosomal RNA", at positions 524 to 776 of the family's 1533-position model. The record is from RNAcentral.